AUGAGAGCAGAAAAUGCAUGGCCCCAGGGAAGCUAGCCGCUAUGAGGCCUAAGAUGGCAGCAGGCCAAGUAAAGUGGAGUGGGGAGCUAGGGAGAAGGCAGGCAGUUAGGAGAGCUGAGACCCAGGAAGAGUUUUCCAGAGGAGUACAAGGGAAAAGGAAGCCAAAAGUGUCAGAAAGAAGGAACAUCUGAGAGAAGAGAUCCAUGCAUGAUCCAAAUCUCUUUGCUGGCAAUGAAGAUUACAUUGGAGUGGAGAUGAAGGGAGAGAAGAUAACACGGUAGAAAAGAAUGGCCCUCUGCACGUCCAGCAAGUGCAAAGAAGCUUCCAGCGGUGUGGAUGGAUUCUUGUAAAACGUGAAUCAGCAGGAAGAGGCACCACAUCUGGGCUGGGGUCAUUAGGAAGCUCAUCUUCUGAAUCAUCAUUGGGGCUAUCCUUUGAGGAGUCGGAAGAGAAAUCCUCUUCAUCCUCAGCAGAGGAGGAUGGCACGGUAUCAGGAUUUUGGCUAUCAGAGGAAGAUGAGGAGGAAGGAGAGGGGAACACUCUUCUCUUUCUUUUGUGCUUUCCCCUUUUUGUCUGCUGGAGGGACUUGGUGAGCAUAUCAUUAAAACAAGCUUGCCAAGCUGGUGAUACAGAGGAUUGGAAAUCUGAAGGCACAGAAGGGGCGUGGCCUUCAGUUAAAUCUACUGUGAUCACAGGAGGGUCCCAGAUCGCACCAGCCCUGGAUUGUUCUCCAAUGCAAUUGGAUGUGAAUUGCCCGCCGAAUGAUCCCUCUGAUCUCCAGAGGCCCCACCUGCCUUGUGUGUUGUUGUAGAUUCCCAUGCUCUCAUGCUCCUCUCAAUGAGAUCGGCCCUGUGGGCCCAGAUGAUGCUGCACCUGCCCUCUGUGUCACGACUGUUCUGGUUUCCCAUGUAUGAAGGCUGGGAUUGGACUGGGUGUUUCAGGCCUCCAUGGUUUUGACCUGGCUGGUACAUUGGACCAGGCCUUUUGGGCCUCUGUGCUUUUGGCCCACCUGGGACAGUUGAAGGCAUCACCAGAGGAUGGCCCUGGGAUGGCUGCACAAUGUGGCACUGUAGAGGAAGUGUUUUCUGAUGCUGUGGCUGCAGCUGACGGGGCUCUGAGCAGAAUCACGAGGGUAUCAUCCCCUGAAGUGUCCUGGAGCUCUCAGCUGCCUCGAUGGGUCUCAUGGCCUAUUGGUGGGAGACUCAGAGUAUCCUCUUCAUGGUACUCUGCGGUUGUGCAGCCUGGCAAUGGCAGAGGGUAUGCACCGUUGAAACUGAGCGCUGGCCUUCCCGUUAGGGAUAAGAAUGUUACGGACCUUGGGCCCUGGUUGCUGAAUGGUUGAGCGAUCGACUCCAGAGGGAUAAAGUAAAGGUUGAGAAGUCGAAGGAAGUAGCAUACUGAAAUAACCCAUCAGAAGAUAUAAAGAGCAAGGCUUUUUAAAAAGAGAGAGAGAAAAGGCUUGUCUCUGGAGCCGGAUGCAGGACUAAAAGGAACUGAGCAGGGUUGUUUUCCGCAGGCUUUUAAAGUGUUGCUAGUUAUUUUGCAUAGUCCUGCCUCCGGAGCACAUAGGCAGGAUAACCCACAUGACAUGUCCUCAUCCAGCAGCAGAGAAGGACCAAUAACUGUAGUGCUAGUGGUAUCUUCUAUUUGUGUAUAAUGCCCACAGUUUAUUAUAAACAUUAUAGGUACAAUCCAGUUAAAUUUAAGCACUUUUGAGUUCCACUCAUUUUAGUGAGAGAGAUUUGAGCAUGUGCUUAACCCCCAUUUAAAUCAAUGAGACUUGAGAGUGUUUAACAUUAGCAGGACCACACCUUUUGUAUAUAACAGAAGGCCAAUACAAUAUUAUUUAAAAAAUAAAAGAAAUCUAGCAACUUAACAAAUAAC
Long non-coding RNA from Hemicordylus capensis (graceful crag lizard), 1884 nucleotides. RefSeq lists it as uncharacterized. Lineage: Eukaryota; Metazoa; Chordata; Lepidosauria; Squamata; Cordylidae. The transcript has 5 exons. The record is from RefSeq and is a predicted model, not a curated record.